This 468-nucleotide ribosomal RNA is filed under the name uncultured bacterium. Its description in RNAcentral is "partial 16S ribosomal RNA". It matches the Rfam family "Bacterial small subunit ribosomal RNA", at positions 28 to 507 of the family's 1533-position model. The record is from RNAcentral.
GACGAACGCUGGCGGCGUGCUUAACACAUGCAAGUCGAACGGAAAGGCCCUGCUUUUGUGGGGUGCUCGAGUGGCGAACGGGUGAGUAACACGUGAGUAACCUGCCCUUGACUUUGGGAUAACUUCAGGAAACUGGGGCUAAUACCGGAUAGGAGCUCCUGCUGCACGGUGGGGGUUGGAAAGGUUCGGCGGUUGGGGCUGGACUCGCGGCUUAUCAGCUUGUUGGUGGGGUAGUGGCUUACCAAGGCUUUGACGGGUAGCCGGCCUGAGAGGGUGACCGGCCACAUUGGGACUGAGAUACGGCCCAGACUCCUACGGGAGGCAGCAGUGGGGAAUUUUGCACGAUGGGCGGAAGCCUGAUGCAGCAACGCCGCGUGCGGGAUGACGGCCUUCGGGUUGUAAACCGCUUUCGCCUGUGACGAAGCGUGAGUGACGGUAAUGGGUAAAGAAGCACCGGCUAACUACGUG